RNAcentral lists this ribosomal RNA (480 nucleotides) under Triticum aestivum (bread wheat). RNAcentral describes it as "partial small subunit ribosomal RNA". The record is from RNAcentral. Lineage: Eukaryota; Viridiplantae; Streptophyta; Magnoliopsida; Poales; Poaceae.
AUGUUACGAGGGAGCGAUGCCUCCAGGUACUCCCCUCCAUGCAAAAAAACGGACGAAAAUAAACCGAUGAAAGAAAACCAGCGAAAAAAAUCCGUCUUGGACUGGCAACGUGCGAACGAGCGAGCGAGCAAGCGAAGCCUCCAGGUCCCUUCGCCGUUGCCCUCGCACAUCAAGCCGCCGCCCUCGCCCUCGCCCUCGCAGCCGCCGCCGAUCCCCUCCCCCAUCUUCCUCCCUCAAACGCUAACCCGUCUCGCGGUGCGCCACCGCCCGUCGCGGCCGCCCCCGCCACCUCCCGCCGCGCCGCCGCCCCACCUCCAGCCGUGGCCGUCGCGCCCAGAUCCAGCGGCGGCUGCCGCCCCACCUCCAGCCGCGGCCGCCCCACCUCCAGUCGCGGCCGCCGCCCCCACGUCCCACCGCGGCCGCUGCCCGCGCCAACGACCCCUUCCUCCGCCGCCGCGCCACGGGUCCACUUCGCCAUGA